GGCUGAAAGCAUUGGUUCUCGUCCGAUCGCCGAAAUUAAGCAUCAUCGGGUGCGUGCAUUACUUGGGUGACUGAGCACCUGGGAAUACUGCUUGCCGU
Non-coding RNA from Nephila pilipes (giant wood spider), 98 nucleotides. Lineage: Eukaryota; Metazoa; Arthropoda; Arachnida; Araneae; Nephilidae. The record is from the annotation of a GenBank genome assembly.